Long non-coding RNA from Macadamia integrifolia, 3289 nucleotides. RefSeq lists it as uncharacterized. The record is from RefSeq and is a predicted model, not a curated record. The transcript is spliced from 2 exons. NCBI's taxonomy places the organism in Eukaryota, Viridiplantae, Streptophyta, Magnoliopsida, Proteales, Proteaceae.
AAAUAAUGUAAAGUUGGCUAUUGAUAGUCCUUUUAGCAUAAUCACGCUGCUUUCAUCCUUGAGAGGGAUAUUGGUAACAUAUUCUUUUAUGUCAUGAAAUUGUUAGGAGCUUUGAUAAGUAGAAUCAUCCUCCCUCUAUCCUCCUCAAGUUGCACAUCCAUAAAGCAUUUGAUUCUAUUAGGUGGGAUUAAAUUAUUCAAAUUCUUGUGAAGAUGGACUUCGCUUCUAAUUUUAUCAAUUUUAUUCAUUGCUAUAUCUUUUCUCCUUUUUUCUCUGUCUAAUGGCUCCCCUCAGGGUUUCUUUUCCUAAAAAAAUGGGAUUCGCCAAGGUUGCUAUGUCUCUCCUCUCUUAUUCUCUCUAGCCAUAGAGGGUCUAUCUAGAAUCCUAAUCAAUAAAAUUGAGAAUAAUUCCAUCCAACCUAUUCCUAAAUGCAAAAAUCUGAAGAUCACUCAUUUAUCUUUUGGAAAUGACCUUAUGAAUUUUGCCAAGGUAAACCUUCAAUCGCUGACUUCCAUAUUUGAUGCUUUAUCAUUUUUUAUUCUGUAUCGAGUCUUUCCAUUGAACCCCAAAAAUUUCUCUUUCUUUAGAGGGGUUCCUUGUGGUAUUAAGGCUCAAUUAGUUAAUAUUUUGGUCAUCCUUGAGAUCCACUUGUGUAUCACUUAUUUGGGUCCCCAUUUGAUUUCUUCCAAGAUAUCUGCUCAUCAUUGCUCUCCCAUUAUUGAUAGGCUUUACAAGAGGCUUCAACUUUGGAAGAGUAACUUCUUUCUUUUACAAGUCACCCCGAACUCAUCAAAUUAGUCAUACAAAGCUCCUAAAUUGAAUCUGGGUUUUUGGGUUUCCCUCUUCUAUCUCUUCUAAGAUUGAAUCUCUUAUGUAUUCCUUCCUUUUGGAGGGUGGGGAUAAAGGAGGCUAAAAUUGUUGGGAUUCUCAAACUCAUUUGGAAGAUUGGUUCUGGAAGCAAGAUCAUUUGGGUUGAUUGUUUGUAUUCCAACCCCUAUUCCUACAAAUGCUUCUUGGGCUUGAAAUAAGAUUCUUAAGUAUCAAUUCCUUGUUUCCGAUACUAUCUAGUCUUCAAUUGGUGGUUCCAUUAGAACCGUGGUUUGGGUUGAUAAUUGGCAUCCUAAUGAUGAGUUAAUCCUAAAAUAUGGUGAUAGCAUUAGUUAUCUCUUCCAUUUUAAGAGAUGAACAGGGGAUCCCAGACCCAAGAAACUCAAAUUCUCUUAUUAAGGUUUGGGAUAUGCUUCUAAGGGUGCGCUUGAGAUCUAGAGGUAGUGGGGAUAUUAUUCAGUAAGUAGCUAAUUCAUCAAGAAAGUUCUCUUCCUUUUAUUUUUUAAAUUUGCUAAGAUCGAGUGCUCCUUUUGUUCCUUAGUUUAGACUAGUUUGGUCUAGCUAUUCUAUUCCUAGGCAUUGUUUUAUGAUUUUGAGGGUUAUUACUAAUUAUCUACCUAAGAGUUUAUUUCUCGAGGAAAUAUUUCAAUUUCUAAUUGUUGCAUUUGUCGGAAUUCAAUUCAAUAUGUCUAUCAUUUGUUCUUUGAUUGUCCUUUUAGAAAUUCAGUAUGGAAAGGUAUUCUUAGGAAAUUCUAGUUUACUCCCAGAUUCAACGACAAAUCAACAUGUGAUAUCUUUAGUAAGUUAGCAUUAGAGUAGUGAUUCAUCAUAUCUGGUGGGAAAGGAAUAAAAGAAGAUUGUAUAUUCAUCCUGCACUAUUGAUCAUAUUUCAGACAUCAUCUCAUUUGACAUUCAAAAUAACAUUCAUCAUAAAUGUGUGGUAAGCCCUAACUAAAGCAGAAAUUGGUAUAUGGACCAAUCUUGGAAAAUUUUGCUCAAUGUCCCCCCUUAGUUUUGAAUUAUCAUCUUCAUGUUUUCUCUCACCCCCCCCCCCUCCCUCCGGGUUUUAGUGUAUCCCCCACCUAGAUUAUUUUCUUCCCUACCCUCUCUUGGUCUUGUUGUCAAACCCUCCUAUUGGUAUUUUAUAAGGCUUGAGUUAGGGAAUCUUCUCUUAGUUUACCCUCCUAUUGGUGUUUUAUAGGGCUUGAGUUGGCGAAUCUUCUCUUGGUUUCCACUUUCGCUUGUAGGAUCUCUUAUUUUCUUUUACCCCUUUUAAUAUGAUAUAUUCACAAAAAAAAAAAAAAAAAAAAAAAAACCAAUAUUUAAUUUUCAUUGAAUGUGUGGUGUACAUCAUGUGUAUCCUUUUCUAAUGUUGUUAAAAAUGAACUUAUAGUAGAACUGAUCCUCUAGUACCAAUCUAAUAGAUAUAUUAAUUUGUAAUUGGUUCAGGAACUACUAAGUUUUCUUUAUCACUAAUGUAGAAGAUCCUUUUACUUUCAUUUAUUUGGUAGUUUGUAUUUACAUACCAUUAUUUUUUGUAUUUAAUAUUAUCAUUAUUAUCAUAUCACUUACAUUAUCGAAGCUAUUCCAUUUUACUGCAGCAAGUUCUCAAAAUGCAAAAUUCUUUGUUUCUGUAGAAGAAAAAGAUGGAACUAAAGGCCAGAUCAUAAAUAAAAUCAUAGAAUCAAAAGGCACAAUAAAGAAGCGUUUCCAUCAGAUCAAUGAUUUACCAGAUUGCACCAUAUUCUUCACAGAGAAGCUUUCAAAAUAGCGAAAAAAAAAUUGGGCUUAAAACAUUCCUCCUGCUGGAUCAACGCCUGACAACAAUAAGAAUGGAAACAAGCUUAGCGGCUCCAAUGGUGAUGAUGUUGGCGAUGAACCUGUUGCCGGAGCUGUGGUGGCAGCAGAGAGGGUAGUGGCUCCGUUGAUGAUGAGGAUGAAGAUGUUGAACCUGAUGCCAGAGCAGUAGUGGCAGCAGAGGUGAACCCUAGCAAGGCUGGUAGUGGCUCCGAUGAUGAUAAGGAUGAUAGGGAUGAGCAUGUUGCCGAAACAGUUAGCAGCACCGAGGAUGACGACAAUUAUUAUUAUGGUGAUGAGCUUGAUGCCGAAGCAAUGGUGGCACCAGAGGUGAACCCUAGCGAAGCUGGUAGCGGCUCCUAUGAUAAUGAUGAUUAAAAUGGUAAUGAGCCUGAUGCCAAAGCAGUGGUGGCACCAAAUUAAGGUGAGCCCAAGCAAGGCUGAGUUAGUGCUGCUGAUGGUGAGGGUAGUGAGUAUACUGACUCAUCUACUGACGGGAGUGAUGGCGAUGACAUCCCUGUGAUCUAGAUGAAGACGAAGACGAAGAGGGAGAUUAGGCCAUAUUUUCUAUUUUAUUCCCCAGCCCCUUUGUUCCAGUUCUUUUCAGAUAUUAGUUAUCUUUAUAUUUUUUUGAUGAUAAUUUUCAGAACUCCAAACCUUAGAA